Molecule: ribosomal RNA, 322 nt
Filed under: uncultured Bacteroidota bacterium
Lineage: Bacteria; Pseudomonadati; Bacteroidota
Description: bacterial SSU rRNA
Rfam family: Bacterial small subunit ribosomal RNA
Source: RNAcentral
GAUGAACGCUAGCGGGAGGCUUAACACAUGCAAGUCGAGGGAUAGAUGUAGCAAUACAUUGAAAACCGGCGCACGGGUGAGUAACGCGUAUGCAACCUGCCCUUUACCGGGGGAUAGCCCGUCGAAAGGCGGAUUAAUACCCCAUAAUAUCAUUUUUCCGCAUGGGAUGAUGAUUAAAGCUUCGGUGGUAAAGGAUGGGCAUGCGUGACAUUAGCUAGUUGGUAGGGUAACGGCCUACCAAGGCUACGAUGUCUAGGGGGUUCUGAGAGGAAGGUCCCCCACACUGGUACUGAGACACGGACCAGACACCUACGGGUGGCUG